This 1332-nucleotide ribosomal RNA is filed under the name Dictyomenia sonderi. RNAcentral describes it as "small subunit ribosomal RNA". It matches the Rfam family "Bacterial small subunit ribosomal RNA". Lineage: Eukaryota; Rhodophyta; Florideophyceae; Ceramiales; Rhodomelaceae. The record is from RNAcentral.
AAUAUUAAGAGUUUGAUCCUGGCUCCGAAUUAAUGCUUUUGGUUAAUCUUACACAUGCAAGUUAUUAAAAAAUUAAUAGCGUACGGGUGAGUAAUAUAUAAAAAUAAUUUUUUAAAAAAGUUUAUACGAGAUUAAGUAAUAAUCAAUUUAAAUAGUUGCUUAGCUAAUAAUCUCUAGUUGAUCUUUGAGGAUGAUCAGCCACAUUGGAAUUGAAAAAUGGUCCAAACUAAAUUUAGGCAGCAGUGAAGAAUAUUGGACAAUGAGUGUAAACUUGAUCCAGUUAAACCAAUUAUGUGAAGAAGAUUUUUUAUUGUAAAACAUUAAACUUUAAAAAUAAUAAUGCUUUUUAAAGUUUAUUAGUCCUGGCUAAUUUCGUGCCAGCAGCCGCGGUAAAACGAGAAGGGCAAGUGUUAUUCAAAUUUACUGGGCGUAAAGAAUUAUUAGGUUGUAAAUUAGUAUUAAUUUUUUUUAAUUAUUAUAUUUUUAAAGUUUAUUUUAAAAUAAAAUUAUUAGAUAAAUUUACUUGAGUUUAAAAAAGAGAUUUUGGAAUUUUAAGUGUAACGGUAAAAUGUAUUGAUAUUUAAAAGAAUUUUUAAGGUAAACACAGAAAUCUAUUUUAAAACUGACAUUUUUUAAUUAAAGUAUAGGUAGCAAAAGGGAUUAGAUACCCCUGUAGUCUAUACCCUGAACUAUGAAUGUUAUUAUUUUUUUUGGUUUAAAAAAAUAUUUAGAUUAACGUAAAAACAUUUCGCCUGGGAACUACGGUCGCAAGAUUAAAACUCAAAGGAAUUGACGGGAAUUCAAACAAGCAGUGGAGCAUGUGGUUUAAAUCGACAAUACGCGAGAAACCUUACCAAUUUUUGUUAUCAGGUGUUGCAUGGCUGUCGUCAGUCCGUGCUUUGAAGUAUUUGGUUUAUUCCAAUUAACGGACGAAACUUUUGUAUGUUAAAUUAAAAAUUACAUAAAUUUAUUAAGGACAUCUUAUUAGAAUGAAAACGAUGACAAGUCCUCAUGACCCUUAUAAAUUGGGCUACUUUCAUGUGCUACAAUAUUCUUUACAAAAAAUAAUAAUAUUAAAUUAAAUUUUUAUAAAUUAAAAAAAAGAAUAAUCGAAUUAUUUUCUGAAACUUGAAAAUAUAAAGUUGGAAUUGCUAGUAAUCGUUUAUAAGAAUGUUACGGUGAAUUUGUUCUUGAAUUUUGUACAUACCGCCCGUCACGCUACGGAAAUCAAAUUUAUUUGAAGAAUUUUCAAAAUUUUAGAAUAAAGCGAGGACUAGAGUGAAGUCGUAACAAGGUAGCCGUAGGGGAACCUGUGGCUGGAAUAUAAAAAAU